Molecule: ribosomal RNA, 506 nt
Filed under: uncultured bacterium
Lineage: Bacteria
Description: partial 16S ribosomal RNA
Rfam family: Bacterial small subunit ribosomal RNA
Source: RNAcentral
AGUGAACGCUGGCGGUAGGCCUAACACAUGCAAGUCGAACGGCAGCACAGGAGAGCUUGCUCUCUGGGUGGCGAGUGGCGGACGGGUGAGGAAUACAUCGGAAUCUACCCUGUCGUGGGGGAUAACGUAGGGAAACUUACGCUAAUACCGCAUACGACCUACGGGUGAAAGCGGGGGACCUUCGGGCCUUGCGCGAUUGAAUGAGCCGAUGUCGGAUUAGCUAGUUGGCGGGGUAAAGGCCCACCAAGGCGACGAUCCGUAGCUGGUCUGAGAGGAUGAUCAGCCACACUGGAACUGAGACACGGUCCAGACUCCUACGGGAGGCAGCAGUGGGGAAUAUUGGACAAUGGGCGCAAGCCUGAUCCAGCCAUACCGCGUGGGUGAAGAAGGCCUUCGGGUUGUAAAGCCCUUUUGUUGGGAAAGAAAUCCAGCUGGCUAAUACCCGGUUGGGAUGACGGUACCCAAAGAAUAAGCACCGGCUAACUUCGUGCCAGCAGCCGCGGUAA